RNAcentral lists this ribosomal RNA (449 nucleotides) under uncultured bacterium. RNAcentral's name for it is "partial 16S ribosomal RNA". It matches the Rfam family "Bacterial small subunit ribosomal RNA", at positions 29 to 523 of the family's 1533-position model. The record is from RNAcentral.
AACGAACGCUGGCGGCAGGCUUAACACAUGCAAGUCGAACGCAUCCUUCGGGGUGAGUGGCAGACGGGUGAGUAACGCGUGGGAACGUGCCCUUCAGUUCGGGAUAACCCAGGGAAACUUGGGCUAAUACCGGAUACGUGCGAGAGCAGAAAGAUUUAUCGCUGAAGGAUCGGCCCGCGUCUGAUUAGCUAGUUGGUGGGGUAAUGGCCCACCAAGGCGACGAUCAGUAGCUGGUCUGAGAGGAUGAUCAGCCACAUUGGGACUGAGACACGGCCCAAACUCCUCCGGGAGGCAGCAGUGGGGAAUAUGGGACAAUGGGCGCAAGCCUGAUCCAGCCAUGCCGCGUGAAUGAUGAAGGCCUUAGGGUUGUAAAGCUCUUUCGUCCGGGACGAUAAUGACGGUACCGGAAGAAGAAGCCCCGGCUAACUUCGUGCCAGCAGCCGCCGUAA